GAUGAACGCUGGCGGCGUGCCUAAUACAUGCAAGUCGAGCGAACGGACGAGAAGCUUGCUUCUCUGAUGUUAGCGGCGGACGGGUGAGUAACACGUGGAUAACCUACCUAUAAGACUGGGAUAACUUCGGGAAACCGGAGCUAAUACCGGAUAAUAUUUUGAACCGCAUGGUUCAAAAGUGAAAGACGGUCUUGCUGUCACUUAUAGAUGGAUCCGCGCUGCAUUAGCUAGUUGGUAAGGUAACGGCUUACCAAGGCAACGAUUCAUAGCCGACCUGAGAGGGUGAUCGGCCACACUGGAACUUAGACACGGUCCAGACUCCUACGGGAGGCAGCAGUAGGGAAUCUUCCGCAAUGGGCGAAAGCCUGACGGAGCAACGCCGCGUGAGUGAUGAAGGUCUUCUGAUCGUAAAACUCUGUUAUUAGGGAAGAACAUAUGUGUAAGUAACUGUGCACAUCUUGACGGUACCUAAUCAGAAAGCCACGGCUAACUACGUG
RNAcentral lists this ribosomal RNA (497 nucleotides) under uncultured bacterium. Its description in RNAcentral is "partial 16S ribosomal RNA". It matches the Rfam family "Bacterial small subunit ribosomal RNA", at positions 28 to 507 of the family's 1533-position model. The record is from RNAcentral.